CAGUCGGCGUCACCUGACUCCCGAGACCCUGUUUUUGGAGUGGGAAGUGAGGUGUGAGAGUCGGUCGCUUUCUGAUGAAUUCAUUGGCUGUGGAAUUGGAACCUGGGAAUAAUCUAUCCCCUAGAGGCAGGUUUUUACACCCUAAGCCUUCAUCUAGAGAGGACGGAUUUAUUUGCUACGCGUGCACAUUCUGAAAACAGGAGAUCGAAUUAGUUCUCUAUAAUGGGAAGAACCUACAUUGUCGAAGAGACUGUCGGCCAGUAUCUUUCAAACAUCAAUCUCCAAGGAAAGGCAUUUGUCUCUGGCCUUUUAAUAGGACAGUGUUCUUCACAAAAGGAUUAUGUGAUUCUUGCCACUAGAACACCACCCAAAGUGGAAGAAAAUGAGAACCUCAAACAUUCCAAAGCUAAGUUGGAUGAUUUGGAUGAAGAAUGGACCACAGAACAUGCCAACCAGGUAUCCCGAAUGCUACCAGGGGGACUUUUGGUUCUUGGAGUAUUUAUUGUUACUACUCUAGAACUAGCAAAUGAUUUUCAAAAUGCCCUGCGCAGACUAAUAUUUGCUGUGGAAAAGUCUCUGAGUAGAAGGAGACUGUGGAAUUUCACAGAGGAAGAGGUUUCAGAACGAGUGACACUUCACAUUUGCUCUUCUACAAAAAAGAUAUUUUGUCGAACUUAUGAUGUCCAUGAUCCAAAGAGUUCAGCAAGACCAGCAGAUUGGAAGUAUCAAAAUGGAUUGUCAACUUCGUGGCUUUCUUUAGAGUGUACAAUUCACAUUAAUAUUCACAUCCCACUUUCUACUACUUCUGUCAGCUAUACUUUGGAGAAAAAUACAAAGAAAGGACUUACACGCUGGGCCAAGCAAAUAGAAAACAGUGUUUAUUUGAUUAAUGGACAAGUUAAAGAAGAAGAUUGUGACCUAUUACAAGGACAGAAAAAAUCUUCUAGAGGAAAUACUCAAACUACUGGUCAUUGUUUUGAUGUCAGAGUGUUAAAGUUGCUCCUGAAUUCAGACCACAGAUCCACAGCCAUAGUCCAGAUAUGCAGUGGUUUUGUGAACCUUAAGGGAGCUGUGAAAUGCAGAGCUUAUAUUCACAGCAAUAAGCCCAAGGUUAAAGAUGCUGUGCAGGCAAUGAAGAGGGAUAUAUUAAACACAGUUGCUGAUCGUUGUGAAAUACUAUUUGAGGAUCUGCUUUUGAAUGAAAUUCCAGAAAAAAAAGUUAUGAAAAAAGAGUUCCACAUCCUCCCUCAUCGAGUUUUCGUCCCCAUUCCUGGAUCCACUGUAAUGUUAUCUGAUUAUAAAUUUGGUGAUGAGUCAACUGAAGAAAUCAGAGAGCAUUUUAUAGAGAUGUUAGAUCAUACGAUUCAAAUAGAAGACUUGGAAAUUGCAGAGGAAAUAAAUGCAGCUUAUAUGAGCUCCUCUGUGAAUAGUCAAGCUUCAUUGGACAACACAGAUGAUGAACAACCAGAGCAAUCAAUUAAAACCACAAUAGCGUUGAAGAUUCAGCAAAACAUAGGUAUGAUUGCAGCAUUUGCAGUUACAGUCCUUGCUGCGGCUAUCUCCUUCCACUACUUCAGUGAUUAGGGUGAGGCACAAAGACCUUCCUGAUUAUCCAGAGAAUACUGAUAAAAAUAUAAACAAUCCAUUUGUAUUUAAGAUAGAAGCCACCAAAUCUGCUGCCUAAUACCAAUUAGGUAUGUGUUCUGACUAAAAGGAAAUCACCAGCUACCUUGGUUAGCCUGUUUAUAUUAUAGGUGACCCAGGUUUCCAAAAAUAAAGGUGUGCAUCUGGAGGGAAACAGCAUGUAACAAAUCAUUAUUAUCUAUUUCUAAAAGGCUCAAAAUGAUGGGAUAUUAUUUAUCACAUAUAUUAGUCCUACUAGUCUGGAUCACACAUUAAUCAGGACAUUAAAUUCUGAACAGUCAAGUGUUGACUCAAUAUCUUAAAAAUAAAGGAUUAGGAGAAAUUUGUACCAAGUGGGACAACCUUGUGGUUAGUUCAUCUUCUUGAACUUUUCUAAUAUGCACUCAUUUCCAAUAAACUGUAUGCUAUUGUUCUAAUCAAGGAGUAGGAAACCUUUCUUGAGAGGUUUGAGUCAUUGAAGAAUGACAUAAAUUAUGUGCUUUCUCAGGUUCUAAGUAUAUCAUAAUAGUUUUAAUAUAUUUAAUAUAUAAAAUAAGACUUUCUCUUUCAGCAGUAUGUUAGACUAGAAAUUGAAAGCAACUAGAACCUGAAUAAAAUCUACUUUAAAUAGGCUCAAAGGAAGUAUGAGAAAUCUUCAAGACCCACCCAUCUAUCUUUCCUCCUCCACAAAAAUGAAUAUGUUUUAUGUUAGCAAUCAUGAAUACUAUAUUAAGUAUAGAAAAGGACUAUUGUUGCCAGUAUGGCAAAUACCAAUAGCAACAUGCCAAAUGCAGUUUGCCUCAAAUCAGAAACAAGGAAAGACCCGAAACUGAGAUGCUGUUCUAGAAAGGACAGUUUAAAAAGGUUAAAUGGCCCUCAGUUUGUAGUACUCUAGCUCCUGGCAGAAGCAAGGGCAAACAUUCCUACUUUAGGUCUACGAUUCAGAUAGAUUAUGGUCAAGUAGUAGUAUUUUCACAAUCACCAGGCAUAAGUUGAAACUAGUGAGCAUGAGAAAGAACCUAUAGAAAAAAUAAACAUCGAAUUCAUUUCCCCAAAUCUCAUUACCAACAUAAGAAAUGAAGGAUGGAACCACAGGCAGAUCUGAAAAAGAGACAACUUAGAACUGAGAUGUACAUUUAUUGAAAUAUGAAAAAAAACUUUCAGACAUUGAAUAUUAGAAUCAGGCGAAGAGACAAGUGAGCUGGCAGCUACAUUUAAGUCAUGACCCACUGAGCAGGCAAGAAACAAGGAGUUAAAAAUUAUUAGAAUUUAUUUGUUAAUAAAAACAAAUACAAAGAUCAGGAGGAGAAAAUGGAGAGAGGCAAUAUUUGAAGAGAUAACAGAACUUUCUACAUUUAUUGGAAACACGUGAAUUCAUAAUUUCAGGAAGCACAACAUAUCUCCCAAACUGACCCAAGAGAGGGAAAAAAAUCAUCAUUAUAAAGGCAAGACAGAUGCUUAGCAGACUUCCCAACUGCAACCAUACCGAAAGAUGAUAGAAUAAUAUAGAACAAUAUCUUCAGAAUUUUGAGAAAGAAAAAUCGAUUGUCAGAAUCUACACCAAACAAAACUGAAAUAAAUACACGUUCCGAUGAAAAAUGAAUUUUACGUCAGCCAACCUUCAUUAAGGAAACUGCAAAAGGAUGAUCUUCAAGAAGGAAAAUGAUUCCCAAAGGAUGAUCUGAAACCGAAGACGUAAUGAACAAAUAAAGUAAUAAAUAAUUGCAAAUUUAAAAUGUUGUUUGCAUAAAACAAUCAUGAUCAAGAAAUGUUUUUAAGGAAUUGUAACCAAAUGUAAAAUUAAAUAAACUUCUUAUACAACAUUAAUAAUGUGGAAUUGUAAAAUAAGGUUCUAACUAAAAAACCAGAUAGUAGCUUAUAAGGUGGGAAAUGGUUGAUUAAAGUGUUCUGUGGCAUUUUUAUUCAGAAAACUGGUUAAGAUACUGUUUAACUUUAAAAUUAAUUGUGUUAAAUAUCUAUAGUCAUAUUUCAAGGGUAACUGCUAAAUUAAUAGGGGAUUAAUCAUUCCAAAGCAAAAGAAGUUUAAAAUAUAGACUAGGAAGGCAAUAAUUCAAUAUAAAUAAAGAAAUUUGGGAGGUGGGGCAAGGUUAGAAAGUAAGAUGAUAGUACCAAGUACAAUGAUAAUUAAAUGUGAGUAGAUUGAAUUACCCAAUUAAAUGACAAAUUGAUCAGGUUUUUUUUUUUAAAUCCUAACUAUAGGGCUUGGCGCCCGUAGCACAGUGGUUAUGGUGUCAGCCACACACACUGAGGGUUUGAACCCGGCCCGAGCCAGCUAAAAACAACGACAACUGCAACAAAAAAUAGCCGGGCGUUGUGGUGGGCGCCUGUGGUCCCAGCUGCUUGGGAGGCUGAGACAAGAGAAUCGCCUAAGCCCAACAGUUUGAGGUUGCUGUGAGCUGUGAUGCCACGGCACUGUACCGAGGGCGACAGCUUGAGACUAUGUCUCCAAAAAAAAAAAUCCUAAUUAUAGCUGUUUAAAAGAAAAACAUCUAAAACAUAAGACAUCAGGAGAUUGAAAGUAAAAAAGUUAAACAAUGCAUUAGCUAAAUACCAAAAAAAAACUUGUUUAGCUUUAGUGAUAUUAAUCAAAAUUAGACUUUAUGAUAUUUUGAAGAUGGAGAAAGCCAUUAAAAAUAGUAACAGGGUCAAUUUACUAGGAAUAUAUAAUAAUUUUAAAUUUUUAUAUAUCUUAUGAAAUGGCUUCAAAAUGUACAAACUGUGUGGAUCUGAAGCCACAAAUUGAACAAUUGUGGAAAAUUUCAACAGUUCUCACUUAAUUGAUACAGGCAGGCCCCAAGUUACAAACAUCUGACUGAUGUCUGACUCACACUUAUGGAGGCUAUUACAGAUGAUAGACAAAUGUACCUGUUCCACCUAGAAAUUCAACAUAGGAACAAACUUACAGAACCUCCCUCAUCCAUAACCCAGGGGCUGCCUGUAAAUCAAGCAAAGAAUGAGUGAAGACAUUUAAAUAAUGCAAUAACAAUGUGAUUUAAUGGACAUAUUUAGAAAAAUAUAUUUAACAACUGUUUUUCUUAAGUAUUAUAUAUUAGCAAAAAUUGAACAUGUGCUAGAGUAAAUCACAAUAAAUUUCAAAUAAUUGGCUUUAAAUAGAUAACCAGAAACAAGUAUAGGUAAAUAAUAAAGGUUAAAUUUUUUAAAAAUACAAUUACAAAUUUAAAAAAUGUUUUAAAAUGAAACAAGGAAACAAAUCCUUAUUAAUAGAGCCUAAUUAUAAGUAAGGCAUUUUUAAAAAUUGGGUGAUGCAGUGGAAACAGCACUUUGAAGGUAAAUGACUUUAAAUGCUUGAAUAAGGAAAAAAAAUUAAAUAUGUUAAAUUUUAAGUUAAAAUAACAGAAUAUGGAAGACCUAAUUUAACUUUUUUUAAGUUAAAAAAACAGAAUGUGGAAGCAAUGAAGUACAGGCAAGGGAGUCACAACAAACUCUUAAGAAUAGACGAUGAAGGAAUAAUUUCCAGCUUAUUGCAUGGGGUUGGUGUAACUUGAUACUAAAGUCAGACACAUUCAGUAAGAGAAGAAAACUUAUUAACAAACAUAAAUGUCAAAAGCACCGUUAAUAAACUGAAUUUAACAUGUGAAAAGGCAGUGCAUCAUGACUAAAUUGUGUACAUUAAAAGUCAGAAGCACAACAGGGAUGCUUCUACUGUUCUGUAGAAAAAUGAGCAAAAAGACAGAAACUAGGUAUUUUAAAAGGGUAUGACUAGACACAUGAAAAAUAUGUUUAACCUCAUAAGUGAUUGAGAACAUAAUGAAUAGCAUUUUACACAAGAUUGAAAACUUAAGAAAUAAGAUAGAACCGAUGAAGACGGUGUGCACUGAGAAGACACCUUGUAACACUGCAGGUAGGAUUUCUAGCUGAUACUCUCUUCAGAAAGGAAUUUGGCACUGCCUCACAGAGUUAUAUAUUCACAUACCCUAACCAUUUUACAUCUGCAUAUAUACCUUAGAGAAAUUCUUGUGCACAUACACCUCCAGAGUACGCAUGUAAUAAUGCUCAUGGCAGCCCUGUUUGCAACCAAUUAAUUUUCCAUUGACAUAAUAAAAUACAAAGGUCUGACAAUGAAGUUUGCAAAUGCAUGAUAGAAAAAGUACACAGCUGAAUAUCACUAUGGUUACUUCAAAGUGCUUUUCAAAGCAGUUUGGAACUCUAUUUUUUUUUUUUUUUUCUGGAAUGACCGACCAUCAGAGCUGUCCUUGUACGGCACACAAAAACGUGCAACAUUAAUAAUGAAUGCCACUUAGCAAGAUAUCACCACAUGUCGACAAACACAGAGGCGAGACACUGACAUGCCGAAGUUAUGAAAUCUUAGGAAGUUGUAUAGUGCUGCCAACGUAAGACCACAGUAGUGAGUUCGUGAACUUAAUUAUCAGAUCUUGUACUGUGACAGCUCUGAUGGUCAUUCCAGAAAAGGAGUUCCAAAAUUACCUUGAAGGGUGAACUAGGUGCUGAUAUCAGUGCAUAGCAUCCCAAGGGGCAUAGUACAAAGGUGACUGUAGUGAUAAUGUUCAACACUGAGGUACAUAGCUCCUUUUCUAGGAGGAGUUCAUAAACUUAAUUAUCAGGCCUCGUAUAAAUUGUAGGUUUUGUAAAUUUUAUUUAGUAAGGAGAACAACCACAACAACCUAGAGGAAUCUUAGAAAUAUAACAAAGUCUCAGAAGUGUACAUACAGUGUGAUGACAGCUUUUAUAAAGUAGAAAACAAAUCUAAAUUGUAUUAUGUAGGAAUACAUAAAUGUGAUAAAACUUUACAAGUAGUGAUGAAUGAUUCAGCAUAGUGUUUUAUUAUCUCAGUGGGAAUGA
Molecule: RNA transcript, 6465 nt
Organism: Nycticebus coucang (slow loris)
Lineage: Eukaryota; Metazoa; Chordata; Mammalia; Primates; Lorisidae
Gene: ODR4
Gene name: odr-4 GPCR localization factor homolog
Exons: 15
Source: RefSeq, a predicted model, not a curated record